This 162-nucleotide unclassified non-coding RNA is filed under the name uncultured Mortierella. RNAcentral's name for it is "sequence contains ITS1". Lineage: Eukaryota; Fungi; Mortierellomycota; Mortierellomycetes; Mortierellales; Mortierellaceae. The record is from RNAcentral.
UAAUAAGUGUUCUAUGGCACUUCUUAAAUCCAUACCCACCUUGUGUGCAAUGUUAUCUCUCAGCGUCGGUUCAGGUUCGCCUGGCCCUGCUGAGGGAUUCUACAUCAACUCUUAAUUUAACAAAUUUGUCUGAACACUAUUUCGAAUAACUAAUUCAAAAUA